UUAUCUUAAAUUUGUAUGCAGUUGGAACAGCGCCCCUAGCGGCAAACGUUCCAACUCCAUACAAAUAUGAGUUA
RNAcentral lists this microRNA precursor (74 nucleotides) under Bombyx mori (domestic silkworm). RNAcentral's name for it is "mir-2807 microRNA precursor family". It matches the Rfam family "mir-2807 microRNA precursor family". The record is from Rfam by way of RNAcentral. Lineage: Eukaryota; Metazoa; Arthropoda; Insecta; Lepidoptera; Bombycidae.